This 872-nucleotide ribosomal RNA is filed under the name uncultured bacterium. Its description in RNAcentral is "bacterial SSU rRNA". It matches the Rfam family "Bacterial small subunit ribosomal RNA", at positions 434 to 1334 of the family's 1533-position model. The record is from RNAcentral.
UUAUGAGGGAAGAAGUUUAUGACAUUUACCUCAUGAAUAAGGGGCUCCCAAUUCUGUGCCAGCAGGAGCGGUAAUACAGAAGCCCCGAGCAUUACCCGGAUUUACUGGGCGUAAAGGGUGUGUAGGUGGUGUGAUUAGUCGGAUGUAAAAUCCUGGGGCUUAACCUCAGGCUCGCGUUCGAAACGGUCACACUCGAGGAAGUGAGGGGUGUACGGAACUCAAGGUGUAGGGGUGAAAUCCGUUGAUAUCUUGGGGAACACCAAAAGCGAAGGCAGUGCACUGGCACUUUCCUGACACUGAAACACGAAAGCGUGGGUAGCGAAUCGGAUUAGAUACCCGAGUAGUCCACGCCCUAAACGCUGUCUGCUAGCUAUGAGGAGUAUCGACCCUCUUCGUGGCGUAGGUAACCCGUUAAGCAGACCGCCUGGGUAGUACGAGCGCAAGCUUAAAACUCAAAGGAAUAGACGGGGGCUCGCACAAGCGGUGGAUCAUGGGGCUUAAUUCGUCACUAAGCGAGGAACCUUACCGAGGCUAGAAAUCCUACUGCACGCUCCCUGAAAGGGGAGAAGCCUUCGAGGGUGUAGGACAGGUGAUGCAUGGCCGUCGUCAGUUCGUGGCUUGAGCUGUUCCCUUAAGUGGGGAAACGAACGCAACCCUCGUUGCCUGUUACAAGUGUCAGGCGAGACUGCUCCCUCACGGGAGAGGAAGGUGAGGAUGACGCCAGGUCAGCAUGUCCCUCGAUGCCUCGGGCUGCACCCGUGAUACAAUGGGUAGUACAACGAGACGCAAUGUGGUAACACGGAGCAAAUCUUUAUAAAACUAUCCUCAAUUCGGAUUGAGGUCUGCAACUCGACCUCAUGAAGUCGGAAUCG